RNAcentral lists this ribosomal RNA (498 nucleotides) under uncultured bacterium. RNAcentral's name for it is "partial 16S ribosomal RNA". It matches the Rfam family "Bacterial small subunit ribosomal RNA", at positions 899 to 1397 of the family's 1533-position model. The record is from RNAcentral.
ACUCAAAUGAAUUGACGGGGACCCGCACAAGCGGUGGAGCAUGUGGUUUAAUUCGAUGCAACGCGAAGAACCUUACCUGGCCUUGACAUCCCAGGAACCCUGAAGAGAUUUAGGGGUGCCGUAAGGAACCUGGAGACAGGUGCUGCAUGGCUGUCGUCAGCUCGUGUCGUGAGAUGUUGGGUUAAGUCCCGCAACGAGCGCAACCCUUGUCUUUAGUUGCCAGCAUUAAGUUGGGCACUCUAAAGAGACCGCCGGUGACAAACCGGAGGAAGGUGGGGAUGACGUCAAGUCAUCAUGGCCUUUAUGGCCAGGGCUACACACGUGCUACAAUGGCAGAUACAGAGGGAAGCCAACGCGCGAGCGGGAGCCAAUCCCAGAAAAUCUGUCGUAGUCCGGAUCGGAGUCUGCAACUCGACUCCGUGAAGUUGGAAUCGCUAGUAAUCGCAGAUCAGCAUUGCUGCGGUGAAUACGUUCCCGGGUCUUGCACACACCGCCCGU